This 429-nucleotide ribosomal RNA is filed under the name Acidobacteriota bacterium. RNAcentral's name for it is "Acidobacteria bacterium partial 16S ribosomal RNA". It matches the Rfam family "Bacterial small subunit ribosomal RNA", at positions 355 to 776 of the family's 1533-position model. Lineage: Bacteria; Pseudomonadati; Acidobacteriota. The record is from RNAcentral.
UGGGGAAUUUUGGACAAUGGGGGAAACCCUGAUCCACCCAUCCCGCGUGUGCGAUGAAGGCCUUCGGGUUGUAAAGCACUUUUGGCAGGAAAGAAACGUCAUGGGUUAAUACCCCGUGAAACUGACGGUACCUGCAGAAUAAGCACCGGCUAACUACGUGCCAGCAGCCGCGGUAAUACGUAGGGUGCAAGCGUUAAUCGGAAUUACUGGGCGUAAAGCGUGCGCAGGCGGUUCGGAAAGAAAGAUGUGAAAUCCCAGAGCUCAACUUUGGAACUGCAUUUUUAACUACCGGGCUAGAGUGUGUCAGAGGGAGGUGGAAUUCCGCGUGUAGCAGUGAAAUGCGUAGAUAUGCGGAGGAACACCGAUGGCGAAGGCAGCCUCCUGGGAUAACACUGCCGCUCAUGCACGAAAGCGUGGGGAGCAAACAGG